RNAcentral lists this long non-coding RNA (316 nucleotides) under Elaeis guineensis (African oil palm). Its description in RNAcentral is "long non-coding RNA (EGUI_LNC072389)". Lineage: Eukaryota; Viridiplantae; Streptophyta; Magnoliopsida; Arecales; Arecaceae. The record is from RNAcentral.
GUGCAUGGCCUCGAAUUUUUUCUUUCGUCGGUCGAUGCUUGGGAUCAACGGCCAAGCGGUGCUCCAUGACUUCCGUGUCGAUCCCCGGCAUGUCCACCGGAACCCAAGCGAAGACGUCCGCAUUCUUUCGUAGAAAAUCGAUAAGACGCAUCCGCACCUCUUCCCCCAGGUUGGAGCCGAUCAUCGCCACAUGUUCUGCAUUCCCGUCGUUCAGAGGGAUCGGUACCAGAUCUUCAAUUGGACCGCCCCUCUCUUCAGUGAGGUCGUCGCGAGCAUCCAGCCCAUCAACUGGACAGGGGUCGGAUUGGUCGCUUCU